AUAUAUAUAGUAGGGCUACUAUACUCUUAUAAGUAUUAGACCCUUCGUACUCAUAUGUUGUUUUCGAUGAUGGGGCUUUCGAAUCGACGAUCCACUCCGUUAAAUAUGAUCUAGAGUAUUUAAAAUUUCUAAAAAAUAAAUUUUGUAAUUUUUCGAAAUCAUAAUAAAGUCCAUCAAACGGGCAUAAAGUGAAGGGUUAAAAUCGAACGACGUCCUAAAAAUGGAUGAUCGGAUCCUUUAAUUUAAGAUCAGAGUUAUUUCUUUAUUUAGGUAGUGAAUAGAAUUUUCUAUCAAAAAUUCAACCUAUUCUAAUUCUUUUACACCGUUAAACUAGCAAAUAUUCCAUACCGGUCGUUAAAAAUUAUCAAUUUUGUGAGCUUUUGAUCGUAAGGUAAAUGAUGUUGAAAAAUUAUGAAAUUUGAUUUUUUAGAAGUUUUAAAUAUUCUAGAUAAUGUUUAACGGUAUGGAUCGUCGAUUCGAAAAACUCUAUAAUCGAAAACAACUUAUGAGUAUGAGGGCGAUCGUACUGAUAAGAGUAUAGUAGCCGGACUAUAUAUAUAUAUAGUGCGUCUGGUACGCUUCUGGAAGCACGGAGCGCUCCGUGCUUCCAAGUUGUUUUCGAUAUUCGGACUUUCGAAUCGAUGAUCGGCUCCGCUAGACUUGAUCUAGAGUAUUUGAAGUAUCUAGAAAAUAAAUUUUGCAAUUUUUCGAUAUUAUUUGCCUAGUGAUCGAAGUGGCUCAAAAUCAACGGCUGAAAAUAAAAAUCUUACAAAAUAUGAUGAUAUGACAUUAAAAUUUUAGAUCAAAAUUAUCGAUCUUAUUUUAUAUGAUAUAAAAAAUUUUCUAUCAAAAUUUCAUGUGAUUUGGAUAUUUCUACACCGUUAAAAUUAUUGAUUUAUUAUUUACAAUUAUUAUUAAUAAAUAAUUAUAAAUAAUAAAUUAAUAAUAAUAUCGAUUAUCUAUUUAUUAAUAAUUAUUAAUUAAUAAUAAUAUCGAUUAUCUAAU
Molecule: long non-coding RNA, 1005 nt
Filed under: Ananas comosus (pineapple)
Lineage: Eukaryota; Viridiplantae; Streptophyta; Magnoliopsida; Poales; Bromeliaceae
Description: long non-coding RNA (ACOM_LNC023146)
Source: RNAcentral